CGACCUAUUAAGAUCGAGUUGAAUUGAGAUCCAUCUAGAUUGGGUGUAAUUGUGGGAUUUAUUCUGUGCCACCAAAAGAUUUUUUUUUUUUAUCGGAUCCGGAUCACGUGCUCAACCCGGGAACUGAAGAGCCAUGUCAGCAGCUUGGUGGUGGUACGGUGGUUCGCGGAGAAGAUUUGUGGGAGGGGGCGUCUACAAAGAUACAUUCACCUGCCUGCAUGUGGGACCCAUCGGCCCACCUCGCCGAGAACGCCACCGGCAUGUCUCACGUGUUCAUUCUUCGUAAAGCUCUGGAUUUUAUGCCAACUUUGAGAGAGUUUCUGUUUCCUGUUCUGCUUGACAACAUGUUCAUAUGUACCCGAGGAGUGGAGAGAGAAGCUAACCAGCAGGCCAGCAAUAAAUU
Molecule: long non-coding RNA, 403 nt
Filed under: Elaeis guineensis (African oil palm)
Lineage: Eukaryota; Viridiplantae; Streptophyta; Magnoliopsida; Arecales; Arecaceae
Description: long non-coding RNA (EGUI_LNC078231)
Source: RNAcentral